RNAcentral lists this transfer RNA (76 nucleotides) under Clostridia bacterium. RNAcentral describes it as "tRNA-Ala". It matches the Rfam family "tRNA". Rfam says of the family: Transfer RNA (tRNA) molecules are approximately 80 nucleotides in length. Their secondary structure includes four short double-helical elements and three loops (D, anti-codon, and T loops). Lineage: Bacteria; Bacillati; Bacillota; Clostridia. The record is from RNAcentral.
GGGGGUAUAGCUCAGCUGGGAGAGCGCUUGAAUGGCAUUCAAGAGGUCAUGGGUUCGAUCCCCACUAUCUCCACCA